UAGGCCCUGAAUCAAGACCAAUGUUUGCUGUAGCCAUUGGUUUCAAACAGGAGCCAAGAGUAAUAUCCUUCCUUGGUCUGUUGGCUAUUCAGUAUCUCUGGAAUGGCCAAUUCAUUUGGAAGAAACAUGG
Sciurus vulgaris (Eurasian red squirrel) is the source of this 130-nucleotide small nucleolar RNA. Lineage: Eukaryota; Metazoa; Chordata; Mammalia; Rodentia; Sciuridae. The record is from Ensembl.